Molecule: ribosomal RNA, 466 nt
Filed under: Vreelandella stevensii
Lineage: Bacteria; Pseudomonadati; Pseudomonadota; Gammaproteobacteria; Oceanospirillales; Halomonadaceae
Description: partial 16S ribosomal RNA
Rfam family: Bacterial small subunit ribosomal RNA
Source: RNAcentral
CCUACGGGUGGGCAGCAGUGGGGAAUAUUGGACAAUGGGCGAAAGCCUGAUCCAGCCAUGCCGCGUGUGUGAAGAAGGCCUUCGGGUUGUAAAGCACUUUCAGUGGGGAAGAAAGCCUUGGGGCUAAUACCCUCGAGGAAGGACAUCACCCACAGAAGAAGCACCGGCUAACUCCGUGCCAGCAGCCGCGGUAAUACGGAGGGUGCGAGCGUUAAUCGGAAUUACUGGGCGUAAAGCGCGCGUAGGCGGUCUGAUAAGCCGGUUGUGAAAGCCCCGGGCUCAACCUGGGAACGGCAUCCGGAACUGUCAGGCUAGAGUGCAGGAGAGGAAGGUAGAAUUCCCGGUGUAGCGGUGAAAUGCGUAGAGAUCGGGAGGAAUACCAGUGGCGAAGGCGGCCUUCUGGACUGACACUGACGCUGAGGUGCGAAAGCGUGGGUAGCAAACAGGAUUAGAUACCCCGGUAGUC